RNAcentral lists this ribosomal RNA (262 nucleotides) under uncultured bacterium. RNAcentral's name for it is "partial 16S ribosomal RNA". It matches the Rfam family "Bacterial small subunit ribosomal RNA", at positions 524 to 787 of the family's 1533-position model. The record is from RNAcentral.
UACGUAGGGGGCAAGCGUUGUCCGGAAUUAUUGGGCGUAAAGAGCGCGUAGGCGGUCCGAUAAGUCGGCUGUGAAAGUCAGGGGCUCAACCCUUGAAAGCCGGCCGAUACUGUCGGACUAGAGUCCGGAAGAGGCGAGUGGAAUUCCCGGUGUAGCGGUGAAAUGCGCAGAUAUCGGGAGGAACACCAAUGGCGAAGGCAGCUCGCUGGACGGUACUGACGCUGAGGCGCGAAAGCGUGGGGAGCAACAGGAUUAGAAACCC